Molecule: ribosomal RNA, 253 nt
Filed under: uncultured bacterium
Lineage: Bacteria
Description: partial 16S ribosomal RNA
Rfam family: Bacterial small subunit ribosomal RNA
Source: RNAcentral
UACGUAGGGGGCAAGCGUUGUCCGGAUUUAUUGGGCGUAAAGAGCUCGUAGGCGGCUCAUUGCGUCAACCGUGAAAACCAGCAGCUCAACUGUUGGCUUGCGGUUGAUACGGGUGGGCUGGAGUUCGGUAGGGGAGACUGGAAUUCCUGGUGUAGCGGUGAAAUGCGCAGAUAUCAGGAGGAACACCGGUGGCGAAGGCGGGUCUCUGGGCCGAUACUGACGCUGAGGAGCGAAAGCGUGGGGAGCGAACAGG